AAUGACGUGAGUUUAUAUUUUUGGAAUCAGUAAUUUUGAUUUUUUUUUGAUUAAGAUUGAUUUUUAUUGGGUGAAAUUUUAAAUUUUAAUAUUAAUUUAUUUUUUGUUAAAGAUUCUGGGAAAUUCUUUUUUAAACUAGGAUUAGAUACCCUAUUAUUUAGAAUGUAAAUUUUUAAUUCCAGAUUAGUAUUAGUUAUGUUCUUGAAAAUUAAAGAUUUUGGCGGUAUUUUAUUCUAUUCAGAGGAACCUGUCCUGUAAUCGAUAUUCCACGAUAAAUUCUACUUUUUCUUAGUUUGCAUAUCGUCGUAGUUUGAAUAUUUUAAAAGGAUUUAAAUAUUCUUGAUUUUAAUUUGAAAAAAAAUCAGAUCAAGGUGUAGCGUAUGGAAAAGUUAGUGAUGGGUUACAUUAUCUUUAUUUAAGGGAUUGUUUUUAGAAUAAAUUCAUGAAUUCGGAUUUGAUUGUAAUUUUAAAUAUUUUAUUAAGAUGAAGAGAGCUCUAAAAUAUGCACAUAUCGCCCGUCGCUUUCACUUUAAGGUGAAAUAAGUCGUAACAAAGUAGGCUUACUGGAAAGUGUGCCUAGAAAGACGGGUUAGAGCUUGAUAUAAAGCAUUUUAUUUACAUUAAAAAGUUAGUUGUGAAAUUCAGCUUGACUUGAGUUUAUUUGAUUAAUUUUUAUUAAUAUUUUAUUUUUUUUAUAAUUAGAAUUUUAUCUUUUAUUAUUUUAAAAAAUUAUUAUUAUUUAUAGUUAAUUAGUACUGUGAGGGAUCUCUUAUAAAUUUAUAUAAGAAAAAUUUAAUUUU
Molecule: ribosomal RNA, 800 nt
Filed under: Xylotrechus pyrrhoderus
Lineage: Eukaryota; Metazoa; Arthropoda; Insecta; Coleoptera; Cerambycidae
Description: partial 12S ribosomal RNA
Source: RNAcentral